RNAcentral lists this long non-coding RNA (864 nucleotides) under Homo sapiens (human). RNAcentral describes it as "long intergenic non-protein coding RNA 2327". The record is from RNAcentral. Lineage: Eukaryota; Metazoa; Chordata; Mammalia; Primates; Hominidae.
AGCUGGGACUGCUGGCGCCCGCCACUACGCUCGGCUAAUUUUUUUGUGUUUUUAGUAGAGACGGGCUUUCACCGUGUUGGCCUAGCGGUUCUCCAACUCCUGACCUCAUGAUCCCCCCGCCUCAGCCUCCCAAAGUGCUGGGAUUACAAGCGUGAGCCACCGCGACCCGCCAACACUCUUGACAACAGUGCUGUGCUAAGAACUUGGGGGACUUCAAAAAGUUCACCAGUUCCUGUGUCCAUGGGUGAAAAGAUUUUCUACAUCUUUCCUUGACUAGAAACAGAAGUCCUGAAACAAGAAUAUAACGUCAGGAGGCCAGAGGCUUUGUCCUGCCUAAUGUGUUAUUUCCACACUGAAUAAAAGCACCUGAGUCCUGGUAAGUCUAAUUUGCUAGGUGUGGCAAUAUGACCAGUGAAAAACAACAAGGGCAGCAUUUCCUGCAGUUCGGUGGCACAGUAUGGUUCAAAGAGGUAUAAAAGGAAGUCACAGGCAUUUUAAAAAGGUUGUACAUCUAGCAAUACCUAACAAAAUAGGAAAUCAACUUGCCAAUGGCUGUGUUUUGAGUUUAUGGAGAGCCAUAUGUGGCAAGGAACUGAGGGUGGCAUCCAGGCAACAGACUUCAAGAAACUGAGGCUGUCAGUCCAACAACCCACAAGAACUGAAUCUGACCAACAAUCACAGGAACAAACUUAGAAGUAUACUCUUUCCCAGACAAACCUUCAGAUGAGACCACAGCCCCAGCCAUAAGCUUGAAAACAAUCUCAUGAGGGACCUUGAGCCACAGGCAUGUAGUAAAGCUAUGCCAGGAAUCCUGCCUGCCCCACAGAAAAUGUAAAAAAAAUAAAUUUUUAUUGUUUUAAGCCA